UGCAGUCGAACGGUGAAGGCGGAGCUUGCUCUGCUGGAUCAGUGGCGAACGGGUGAGUAACACGUGAGCAAUCUGCCCCUGACUCUGGGAUAAGCGCUGGAAACGGCGUCUAAUACUGGAUACGAGCUGCGAAGGCAUCUUCAGCAGCUGGAAAGAACUUCGGUCAGGGAUGAGCUCGCGGCCUAUCAGCUUGUUGGUGAGGUAACGGCUCACCAAGGCGUCGACGGGUAGCCGGCCUGAGAGGGUGACCGGCCACACUGGGACUGAGACACGGCCCAGACUCCUACGGGAGGCAGCAGUGGGGAAUAUUGCACAAUGGGCGAAAGCCUGAUGCAGCAACGCCGCGUGAGGGACGACGGCCUUCGGGUUGUAAACCUCUUUUAGCAGGGAAGAAGCGAAAGUGACGGUACCUGCAGAAAAAGCGCCGGCUAACUACGUGCCAGCAGCCGCGGUAAUACGUAGGGCGCAAGCGUUAUCCGGAAUUAUUGGGCGUAAAGAGCUCGUAGGCGGUUUGUCGCGUCUGCUGUGAAACCCCGAGGCUCAACCUCGGGCCUGCAGUGGGUACGGGCAGACUAGAGUGCGGUAGGGGAGAUUGGAAUUCCUGGUGUAGCGGUGGAAUGCGCAGAUAUCAGGAGGAACACCGAUGGCGAAGGCAGAUCUCUGGGCCGUAACUGACGCUGAGGAGCGAAAGGGUGGGGAGCAAACAGGCUUAGAUACCCUGGUAGUCCACCCCGUAAACGUUGGGAACUAGUUGUGGGGUCCAUUCCACGGAUUCCGUGACGCAGCUAACGCAUUAAGUUCCCCGCCUGGGGAGUACGGCCGCAAGGCUAAAACUCAAAGGAAUUGACGGGGACCCGCACAAGCGGCGGAGCAUGCGGAUUAAUUC
This 886-nucleotide ribosomal RNA is filed under the name Microbacterium lacticum. RNAcentral describes it as "bacterial SSU rRNA". It matches the Rfam family "Bacterial small subunit ribosomal RNA", at positions 56 to 952 of the family's 1533-position model. Lineage: Bacteria; Bacillati; Actinomycetota; Actinomycetes; Micrococcales; Microbacteriaceae. The record is from RNAcentral.